Molecule: long non-coding RNA, 243 nt
Filed under: Elaeis guineensis (African oil palm)
Lineage: Eukaryota; Viridiplantae; Streptophyta; Magnoliopsida; Arecales; Arecaceae
Description: long non-coding RNA (EGUI_LNC078252)
Source: RNAcentral
CACAUAUAAAAGUUAAUGACAAACUAUGAGAAGGAAUCAGAGAGUGACUGCAGGAUCAAAUUCUGACUGAGCUCACUAUCUGUGGCUAAUCCCAAUUAUCCCAGACAAGUGAUCAGAUCAGUCAUCUUAAGGACAUGAGUUUGCAUGAAUGUGCCUUCAGUCAUCCUGGCAUGGAACAAUUGUUUAGAUAUCUUAUAUCUAGCAGUUCGAAUUUAUUCAUCAUAUAACUCUUUUAAAUUAAGG